GCGUAUCGACUUUACAACCUCGACAGGGAAAUGGACGAGCCACGGGCGUGGAACGGAGAUCUCCUGAAGCGCUUCAACACAUGACUGCCGACGAGGACAAUGUAAAGAUCAAGUAUCUUUGAAGUAAUACAAAGCAGAUUGAUUUCUUGCAGGUUCAAAAUUCUUCCGCGUUUGCAGACUCCGGUCUAAAAAUUUUUCUCUCCGAGUGCGCACUAAAAGUCACACUCGGGGACUUAGCUGCGACCCAGAGUUGCCUAAGUAAAAAAAC
Molecule: long non-coding RNA, 268 nt
Filed under: Hordeum vulgare
Lineage: Eukaryota; Viridiplantae; Streptophyta; Magnoliopsida; Poales; Poaceae
Description: long non-coding RNA (HVUL_LNC009197)
Source: RNAcentral